AUAAUGCAGUUCGAGCGGACAGAUGGGAGCUUGCUCCCUGAUGUUAGCGGCGGACGGGUGAGUAACACGUGGGUAACCUGCCUGUAAGACUGGGAUAACUCCGGGAAACCGGGGCUAAUACCGGAUGGUUGUUUGAACCGCAUGGUUCAAACAUAAAAGGUGGCUUCGGCUACCACUUACAGAUGGACCCGCGGCGCAUUAGCUAGUUGGUGAGGUAAUGGCUCACCAAGGCAACGAUGCGUAGCCGACCUGAGAGGGUGAUCGGCCACACUGGGACUGAGACACGGCCCAGACUCCUACGGGAGGCAGCAGUAGGGAAUCUUCCGCAAUGGACGAAAGUCUGACGGAGCAACGCCGCGUGAGUGAUGAAGGUUUUCGGAUCGUAAAGCUCUGUUGUUAGGGAAGAACAAGUACCGUUCGAAUAGGGCGGUACCUUGACGGUACCUAACCAGAAAGCCACGGCUAACUACGUGCCAGCAGCC
Molecule: ribosomal RNA, 482 nt
Filed under: Bacillus subtilis
Lineage: Bacteria; Bacillati; Bacillota; Bacilli; Caryophanales; Bacillaceae
Description: bacterial SSU rRNA
Rfam family: Bacterial small subunit ribosomal RNA
Source: RNAcentral